RNAcentral lists this non-coding RNA (161 nucleotides) under Vigna radiata var. radiata (mung bean). Its description in RNAcentral is "Bacterial large subunit ribosomal RNA". It matches the Rfam family "Bacterial large subunit ribosomal RNA", at positions 2473 to 2632 of the family's 2925-position model. The record is from Rfam by way of RNAcentral. Lineage: Eukaryota; Viridiplantae; Streptophyta; Magnoliopsida; Fabales; Fabaceae.
GAUAACAAGUUAACUUAUCCCCAAUAACUCACAUUGACAAAAAGGUUUGACACCUCGAUGUUAGCUCUUUUCCACCUGAGGUUGUAGUAUAUUCCAAAGGUUAGGUUGUUCGCUUAUUAAAGCAAUACGUGAAUUCGGUUCAUAACGUUGUCAGAUAAUUU